GGCGGAAUCACCGCAACAGAGGAGCCAUUUCUGCGAAACGGAGCAGCCCAGAAAGCAAGAAGCCCUGAAGUAUUUCCAGAGAGCAAGUGCUGAGAUACUGUGGGUACUGGAGAUGUUUCUACGUGACAAAAGUUGAUAAAACUGGAAGCCGCUGUUUCUUCUGUUUAAGCUCCUGCCUGUUUUGCUUCACUCUGUUCUUCCCGGAGUCCCAGAGCUGAUGUCAUUUCAAGGCUACUCUAAUGCUACUGUGGUCCUGGAAAUAAAGACUUCUUCCUAUUUGAAUUUUAUACAACUGAAAGGACUCAAAGUUUUGCUUCAUAGAACAGAGGAUUCCACAGCCUGACAGAAACAUCUGCGCAUUACAGUGAUAUGCAUAAAAAGGUUCCAUCAGAGCAAUAAAGCCCUGGUUUAAAUCCUGGCUAACAGAAACCAAACCUUUUCAAAAGUUGUAUAUGCACAAUGAUGUAAAAAAUGUUGGACUGCAGGCAUUACCAACUGUUAAAGUUUAGUCAAGUAAUUUUAGAAUAAUUAAGAACCAAUUUACUAAACAUUGAGAAGUUCUAUACUGAUGCUCUCUGACGUGCAAUGCCUUUUACAGCACAACAGCCUUAUUCUCUGGCCCAGCAAACGGGACAGUACCCCAUCAUUGUAACAAGGCCCAACAUUCUGUGCAUGAGAACCACACUAACCAAUUCAUUGAUACUUUGGGGUCUACUAGAAUCUGGCCGACAUGGGAAGUGGGCUGCAAGUAGGACCUUAGUUAGACUCAAACACAUACUUUGGCGAGAUGCAACAUAAACACCUCACAACAGUGAGUGAUGUGUCCAUACUGGACUUGCA
Long non-coding RNA from Oryzias latipes (Japanese medaka), 840 nucleotides. RefSeq lists it as uncharacterized. The record is from RefSeq and is a predicted model, not a curated record. NCBI's taxonomy places the organism in Eukaryota, Metazoa, Chordata, Actinopteri, Beloniformes, Adrianichthyidae.